AGGAGUGCGACUUAUAGAUCUACUUUGCUGACGAGUCUUUCGCUGUUGGCGAGAACACUUAAGGCAGAGUGCCUUUUUUGUGUUCUCGGGUGAAUAUAUUCUUGACUUACUCCCUCGUCUACUUGCGCCAUAGUCCCGAGAACCCCUAGGAUGAGGUACCUUCUUCGGGUGCUUAGGAAUAUGGGUGCAUUUUGUGUGCUAAAUCUGAACCUGACAGCCUUAGAUGGGCAUCUCCGAAGACAAGUGUCUACAGGGCGGUAUGCCCUCAGUGGAUUCUUAGGAGUGCGGCAUCUACUCUGCUUCGACCAUAAUCUCGAAGACCAAUAGGGCGGAAUACCCUUCUCGAUCAGUCAAUCAGGAAAAUGGCUGUUGGGUCUUCAUCUGCUCUGCUUCGACCAUAAUCCCGAAGACCAAUAGGGCGGAUACCCUUCUCGGUCAGUCAAUCAGGAAAAUGGCUGUUGGGUCUUCAUCUACUCUGCUUCGACCAUAAUCCCGAAGACCAAUAGGGCGGAAUACCCUUCUCGGUCAGUCAAUCAGGAAAAUGGCUGUUGGGUCUUCAUCUACUCUGCUUCGACCAUAAUCCCGAAGAACAAUAGGGCGGAAUACCCUUCUCGGUCAGUUAAUCAGGAAAAUGGCUGUUGGGUCUUCAUCUGCUCUGCUUCGACCAUAAUCCCGAAGACCAAUAGGGCGGAAUACCCUUCUCGGUCAGUCAAUCAGGAAAAUGGUUGUUGGGUCUGCUUCGAUCCCGAGGAAGGCCUCGAGACAUGUCUUUAAACUGUAGACUUCUUUCUAACUUGAUCGGUCUGUCAGUCUGACCACUUCGGUAUAGGAUUCUAAGCAGUAUGCCUUCUACCCUUUUCCGACCAUGGUCAGGUCUUCUCUUGGCAGCAAAAAUCAAUCUUCUUCCAGCAUCAUCCUGGGCUCUCGAACGAAAAAUCCUCAGAAACCUGCUUGGAAGCAGUACCAGCAUGAGCAUUCUUUGAAGGACCCAAUCAAUCCUUGACAGAUACUCAUUUGUAUAGACGAAGUCAUAGCCAUCAGGUAUCCUUUAGAGCUAACUGUUCUACUCUUCUUCACCAUGGAUUCCGACGUAGAGCAGCUACAAUUUGUGAUUGAAAACUUCAAGAACACUAGAACACAGCCCUCCUUCUAGCGCCAAUGUUAACGCCAGGAUCUUUCUCCACGUCCCAAUCACCAAGACGCGUCCGAUAUCCUGCACAGUAAACACAGUCAACACCAAAAGCUUGACGGCUUGACCGUCGGGGGAUAGCUCCGGCGUGAGAGUCAGUACAGGCGAUCACAAGGUUAACAAUGGAGGGAUAAAUAUCUAGUGACUUGA
RNAcentral lists this long non-coding RNA (1339 nucleotides) under Panax ginseng (ginseng). RNAcentral describes it as "long non-coding RNA (PGIN_LNC015541)". The record is from RNAcentral. Lineage: Eukaryota; Viridiplantae; Streptophyta; Magnoliopsida; Apiales; Araliaceae.